CGGGGUGUAGCGCAGUGGGCCAGCGCACCGCGUUUGGGACGCGGGGGUCGGCGGUUCAAGUCCGCCCACCCCGACCU
Molecule: transfer RNA, 77 nt
Filed under: Anaerolineae bacterium
Lineage: Bacteria; Bacillati; Chloroflexota; Anaerolineae
Description: tRNA-Pro
Rfam family: tRNA
About the family: Transfer RNA (tRNA) molecules are approximately 80 nucleotides in length. Their secondary structure includes four short double-helical elements and three loops (D, anti-codon, and T loops).
Source: RNAcentral